GUGCCAGCAGCCGCGGUAAUACGGAGGGUGCAAGCGUUAAUCGGAAUUACUGGGCGUAAAGCGCGCGUAGGUGGCUUGAUAAGCCGGUUGUGAAAGCCCCGGGCUCAACCUGGGAACGGCAUCCGGAACUGUCAGGCUAGAGUGCAGGAGAGGAAGGUAGAAUUCCCGGUGUAGCGGUGAAAUGCGUAGAGAUCGGGAGGAAUACCAGUGGCGAAGGCGGCCUUCUGGACUGACACUGACACUGAGGUGCGAAAGCGUGGGUAGCAAACAGGAUUAGAUACCCCUGGUAGUCCACGCCGUAAACGAUGUCGACCAGCCGUUGGGUGCCUAGAGCACUUUGUGGCGAAGUUAACGCCGAUAAGUCGACCGCCUGGGAGUACGGCCGCAAGGUUAAAACUCAAAUGAAUUGACGG
Molecule: ribosomal RNA, 413 nt
Filed under: Halomonas sp.
Lineage: Bacteria; Pseudomonadati; Pseudomonadota; Gammaproteobacteria; Oceanospirillales; Halomonadaceae
Description: bacterial SSU rRNA
Rfam family: Bacterial small subunit ribosomal RNA
Source: RNAcentral